Non-coding RNA from Petromyzon marinus (sea lamprey), 1505 nucleotides. The record is from RefSeq and is a predicted model, not a curated record. NCBI's taxonomy places the organism in Eukaryota, Metazoa, Chordata, Hyperoartia, Petromyzontiformes, Petromyzontidae.
UCAACGCAUGUUUGGUCAGGGUGUGACCGACUGUUCACAAAUGUGCACCUCGGAAUGUGGCUUUUUUAGGUUCCCGUCAUCAACACGUCAAUAUAUAAGCAUCGACGAGCUAAUGUGGCACUCGGAUAUAACUCCACACACUCGCAAGAUUCGUAAAGCGCUGCGACGCGUCCUCUCGUAGCUUAGACCCGACGUCAUUGUUGUAAGUCAGUAGCUAGGCACGGUUGGUGAAUCUGCCAGACUUCCGAGUCAAGUCAACUCACAACACCUGGGGUCUGUCGCGUGACCUCCUGUCGGCGAGCCUUCGACGCUUCACGUGGCCUCAAAGUGCACCUAGCCUGGCACAAGCGCCGUGGUGACAUCACCGCUUCUUUAGUGGCGAACGGGUGCUGCUGUUGUUUUCUUCGAAGACCCUUGCCCGCUAUAAUAAAGACACCGCGUAGGUGGACAACACGAACGCUGAACAUUCAAAACAUGUUGAUGUCUACCAAUUUUUUUAAACCUCACAAGUGCGCCCAGAUUGAUCAAAUUCUACAAUGAACGUCCAGACAAAACUCAGCCGAGCAAACAAGCAAAAUAAUUAUCACGCUGGGAUUCAGCAGGACGUGAUCCAAACAGCAAGUUACAGAAGGCAACUGUUCUUCUACCUUGGCACUCACGGCACUCUUUCCAAGGCACAAGCGUGUGUCAUCCAAUACAGAAUUAUCAAGUCAAUAUGGUGUAUUCGGCCAUCCUCACAGCUGCGCUGUGUGUCUUGAUUGGAGGAGUGCAUACGUCACAAGGAUUUUGCAAUCGCUCCACGCAAUAUGAACUGAAUGGCCUCUGCUGUGAUCAAUGUUCUUCUGGACACUUUCGAUCCGCCUGGUGCACCGCGGACAAGCCGACUGACUGCCAGCCGUGCCCUGAGGGCACCUACAACUCGGAGUACAACAUCUACCCCAGAUGCGAAUACUGCACGCGCUGCAUUCCAGCGUUUCGCCAGGUGAAGAAAGAGGGCUGCACACGUACUCGGAACGCAAGGUACGUAUCAUCAUCAUCUUCUUAUAUAUAAAAGUUUAUGGGCACGCGCGCUUGCGAGGAAUUUGGCUCUCGAACGGUGGGGUACAUGUCUAAAAAAAUUUGCCAGGCAGCACGCAGUAAGCCCCGUGCUUGGCAUAGGUUAUUUUUUCACGUCCGUCAUCUUUAAAUUAGUUGCAUUAGCGAUGCAGUGUGAUUCCGCUUUAUUUAUUUAUUUAUUGCGCGACAUCGGCCGUACCAACUCACGCCAUUUGGGUGGGGGGGGACGGUGGACCAUACCAAGUGAUGGGCGUUCGGUCCAGCUCACGGGGGACAUUUUCUUUUACGCGUUUAACACCCAAUUACCAAAACACACAACGCCGCGGCUAUUUCUUAACAGUGUGAUGUCCUCUUCGCCCCCCCAACACGAUGCGUGCAGUUAAUACUGCAGAGUCUAGAUAGUAAUAUUAUAGCAUUAUUGUUGCACGGGGCGGGGGGAUUGUGGUGGG